RNAcentral lists this non-coding RNA (22 nucleotides) under Rattus norvegicus (Norway rat). Lineage: Eukaryota; Metazoa; Chordata; Mammalia; Rodentia; Muridae. The record is from RNAcentral.
CAGUGUACUAUUAAAAUGGGUC